GGCAGCUUCCUUAAAGCCGCAGCCGCGGCGGGAGCUUGGGGUGCCGGGCGGUGGCUACAUCAGGCGGCCUCCGCACGCUGCCCCCACCCCCAUCGCUCGGCCGCCCCAAACUUGCUUACGUCCACCCUGCUCUCCUUCUGACCGACCCCAGGAUAUCUGGAGAGAUGUGAAAAGUGUGCUGACGCGGAAGAAGUCGGUUUUUCCGCGAGCAAAGUGUCGUCCCCUCACGCUCUCCACCUGCAGCUCCAGAUCUGGUCGUGCUUUACUUAUUAUGUGGUCCAUUAGGAACUGCUGUCUUUCUCCAUGAACUUACCUUCCUGAAUACCAUGAUGCUUUUAGGAAUGGGCACUUGGUUCAACCAGGACAAAUGGAAUCUUUCUCUUGAUUUUUUGGAGCUGAAGAACGAGGAUGGUGAAAAAGAGCUGAAUUACAUAGGACAAUAAGUUUUUGAGAAGCCAACUGGGAAACAGAAGAAGGAAGAUGUCACCAGACAAAAGAAGUCUAAUGGGAGGAAUCCGUGGAAUUUUCUUUUGCAUGCUUGUGUAACACUCGUGAAGCAGCAAAAGAAGAUCCACGUUAUUCCAGAAAUUAAUGCCAGCGAAGUCAAUCGUGUACAUCAACAGGCUAACCUGGGCUUGUUCAUAUGGUGGUGGAAGAUUUCCCAGCAGCAAGAGUGUUGGCUCCAGUAUACAGACCUUGUCAAGUCUCUGCCUGCAUCAUUUGCAUCUUUGACCAAACCAGAUUUGCACCUAUGAUCUUGAUGUCUCCACAUGCUGCAAGUCACAUUGGACAGUUUGUAGUUUUGUGACUGAAUCUAACAUUAAGUUUAUUAGGGACUUUGGUCUACAUGUAAAACUCACCUGGAUGUUAAUGGAAGAGCCUCUGGGUAUUGAAACAGAAUAUAUUCAGCAUUUUGUCUGGUCUAGAAGUCAAUCAGAAUGCAAUUGUUCAUUAAGCCUCCUGCAAGCAAUAGUCACUGUGCUGUGCCAACAUUCAUCAAGUUAAGGGCCAGGAAAUGUGAUUGCCAGGGGCAGAUCUCACAGAGACAGCACAAAAGUCAGCUCGUCUCAAUUACAACGCGGCAAUGGCCUUCUUCCUUGAAACUGCAUUGUCAGAAGGGAAUCUGAGAGGCAGUUCAGAACUUUUUCACUGGGCUCACUCUCAACAGGAAUACCUGAUAGGAAACAAACUAGGAGACUUAUUUUCCUGUUCUCAAUUUUCACAAGAAUGUUUGGACUAUAGUGCCUGUGACUGACUCAAGAAAUUGAAGAAGCAAGAAUUAAGAGGAACAGUGAAUAUUUGGUGCUACAUGGAAGGAGAAUAUUGAAGUGGGAACACUUAACAGCUUUUUAGGAAGAAAGUUAAAAUCUUAGCUGUAUCUCUUGCUUUACAUUUCUAGGCAAGUUCUUUAAUUUUUCUAGAUGUAAGUAUCCUUAUGUAUAAUCUGUCUACUCCAUAAGGUUAUUGUAAGAAAUACAUAAAAUAAAGUAACUGAAAACAGUGCACAAUAAAUGAAGCUAUUAUGAUGAAGGCAAAAUAUCACCAAGAUUAUAAUAUUCCCUUUCAUUUGGAAUUGAGAGGUAGAUAGCUAUGUUUUUAACAGUCAGAUAAAGAGUUAAACUUUGGACGCAAAUGACAGUAAUCAAGAAGGUAAAAUAAGACCUAAGAACUCCUUAGAAAAUCUUCAAUUCCCAUAGGUCUCAUUAUCAGGUAAGAAUGCUAUAUGCUUCUCACAAAAGCCUGGAAAAAUGUUUGAAGCUCACUUGUCAGCAUGGAGAGACAUCCAGAAUAAUUACUGAAAACAAACGAUGGUUUUGCAAGUCCAAGAUGUUUCGAGAUGUUUUGACAGUGGAGGAAAUGCCUAGAAGCAGGUUUGACUCUUUGUAAUACUCAUUCAUCUACAUGGUUUUUCUCUCUCUUUCUCCUCCUCCCCCUCCCCGCUCUCUGUGUGUGUACUACUUAAUUUCCCCAGAAUAAAUAUAAAUAUGUUAUAGUUCUUAUAAAUUAAAAUUAUGUAAAUUUGAUCACGUGAAUGCUGUUAUCAACAUAUUAACAUACUUUGUAUCUAUUUUCACUGUGAUUUACCAUGUAUUAGUAAUUGGCAAAAGGCCCUGUAUCAUUCCUGGAACAGUCCCAUUGCAGUGAGAAUUCUAGUUGAGCUCAUGCUGUUUCUACCACCACGUGUAAGGAAAGCCCACAGCAUAAUUCACCAUCAGGGUUUCCUCUUUCACUCAGAAGCCUAUGGCAUGCAAGCCUGUAAUUCUGGUAUGCGUGACUCCAUGGAUGAGGAAUUGGAGUCUUGCUUGAAGGGUUGGGCUCAAAGUUACUGUACG
Molecule: long non-coding RNA, 2333 nt
Filed under: Homo sapiens (human)
Lineage: Eukaryota; Metazoa; Chordata; Mammalia; Primates; Hominidae
Description: non-protein coding lnc-ARHGAP10-5:5
Source: RNAcentral